RNAcentral lists this non-coding RNA (187 nucleotides) under Peptoniphilus grossensis. RNAcentral's name for it is "T-box sequence". It matches the Rfam family "T-box leader". Rfam says of the family: Uncharged tRNA acts as the effector for transcription antitermination of genes in the T-box leader family. Lineage: Bacteria; Bacillati; Bacillota; Tissierellia; Tissierellales; Peptoniphilaceae. The record is from RNAcentral.
AUAUAAGCUUUGAUGAGGACGGUAAAUCCUAAAAACUAAGAGAGCAGUUGUUUGGUGCGAAACUGUGUUUUGAAAAUUUAUAGAUCACCUCGGAGCUCAAAGGUCAAAAGCCUUUGCGUAUUUGCGUUAAAAAUUAAGUGAUAGUUACCUAUAAUUAGGGUGGUACCGCGGCUAGUUCGUCCCUUCU